CCCAGGACCCUGAGAUCAUGACCUGAACUGAAGGCAGACUUAACUGAUUGAGCCACCCAGAAAUAGGAGCCUCCAAAAUAGAAGCAUUUAUCCAGCCUUGCACUGGUCUGCAGGAAAGAGGAAGAAAGGAACAAAGCACAGGAAUUUUGAUAGAUUACCACUGCCUAUCUGAGGGACAUAGACUGCUGGCUGUUAACAAUCAACCAGAAUGCCACCAAGUCUUCACAGUGAAGAGUCAGCAAAGACCUCCUUAUGAGUCUGACAGAGGGAAAGGAAGGGUAACCACUCUGAAAUACGCUGAGAGCGUUCUCCAUAAGAAAGAGCUACUAUCCAGAGAACUUCCCCUGCAUGGUGUGGAAAAGAGGCUGGAAGGAGAAGACUGGCAUGUCCCAGCACUUGACGGCUAGAUUGUGUCUCACACAAUGUUGCUAGAGCUUGCUUACAGCAUCUGCCAGCUGUCUUGUUUAGAGCAUGAUCCUAAUAGGGGAUUCUCUCUUCGGGAAAAUAUUGCUUUCUUCUGCAUCAUUGUAAUUCCUGAAUUUCCAUGUCUACGUGCUGGAGAUAAGGUUUCUUUUACUAUGCAAUAACAAACUGCAGAUAAAAAAUUUUUUUUGAAGUUUUCAUUCAUAAAUGCAUAAACAAUAGGAUUACAGAUGGAAUUGGAAAAUCCAAUUAUUUGCACUAUAGCAAAAAUCAUCUUGAUUGUUACAUCAUCAUAUUCCUUUUCAAAAUUGCCUGAAAUAAAAAGUAAUAAUAUAGAAUGCAUUAUGUUCUAAUGAGCACGAAAUAAAAUUAUCAUCUAUCUUUA
This is a long non-coding RNA of Canis lupus familiaris (dog), 808 nucleotides long. RefSeq lists it as uncharacterized. The transcript is spliced from 5 exons. The record is from RefSeq and is a predicted model, not a curated record. NCBI's taxonomy places the organism in Eukaryota, Metazoa, Chordata, Mammalia, Carnivora, Canidae.